UACGUAGGGUGCAAGCGUUGUCCGGAAUUAUUGGGCGUAAAGAGCUCGUAGGCGGUCUGUCGCGUCUGCUGUGAAAAUCCAGGGCUCAACCCUGGACCUGCAGUGGGUACGGGCAGACUAGAGUGCGGUAGGGGAGAUCGGAAUUCCUGGUGUAGCGGUGGAAUGCGUAGAGAUCCGGAGGAAGACCGGUGGCGAAGGCGGUCUGCUGGGCAGUUUCUGACACUGAUGCGCGACAGCGUGGGGAGCAAACAGG
RNAcentral lists this ribosomal RNA (253 nucleotides) under uncultured bacterium. RNAcentral describes it as "partial 16S ribosomal RNA". It matches the Rfam family "Bacterial small subunit ribosomal RNA", at positions 524 to 776 of the family's 1533-position model. The record is from RNAcentral.